RNAcentral lists this ribosomal RNA (482 nucleotides) under uncultured bacterium. RNAcentral describes it as "bacterial SSU rRNA". It matches the Rfam family "Bacterial small subunit ribosomal RNA", at positions 30 to 507 of the family's 1533-position model. The record is from RNAcentral.
AUUGAACGCUGGCGGCAUGCCUUACACAUGCAAGUCGAACGGCAGCACGGGAGCAAUCCUGGUGGCGAGUGGCGAACGGGUGAGUAAUAUAUCGGAACGUGCCCAGUCGUGGGGGAUAACGUAGCGAAAGCUACGCUAAUACCGCAUACGAUCUAUGGAUGAAAGCGGGGGAUCGCAAGACCUCGCGCGAUUGGAGCGGCCGAUAUCAGAUUAGGUAGUUGGUGAGGUAAAGGCUCACCAAGCCGACGAUCUGUAGCUGGUCUGAGAGGACGACCAGCCACACUGGGACUGAGACACGGCCCAGACUCCUACGGGAGGCAGCAGUGGGAAUUUUGGACAAUGGGCGCAAGCCUGAUCCAGCAAUGCCGCGUGCAGGAUGAAGGCCUUCGGGUUGUAAACUGCUUUGUACGGAACGAAACGGUGAGCUCUAAUACAGUUUGCUAAUGACGGUACCGUAAGAAUAAGCACCGGCUAACUACGUG